Molecule: ribosomal RNA, 493 nt
Filed under: uncultured bacterium
Lineage: Bacteria
Description: partial 16S ribosomal RNA
Rfam family: Bacterial small subunit ribosomal RNA
Source: RNAcentral
GAGUGAACGCUGGCGGUAGGCCUACCCCAUGCAAGUCGAACGGCAGCCCAGUAAGAGCUUGCUCUUACGGGUGGCGAGUGGCGGACGGGUGAGGAAUACAUCGGAAUCUACUUUUUCGUGGGGGAUAACGUAGGGAAACUUACGCUAAUACCGCAUACGACCUACGGGUGAAAGCAGGGGAUCUUCGGACCUUGCGCGAUUGAAUGAGCCGAUGUCGGAUUAGCUAGUUGGCGGGGUAAAGGCCCACCAAGGCGACGAUCCGUAGCUGGUCUGAGAGGAUGAGCAGCCACACUGGAACUGAGACACGGUCCAGACUCCUACGGGAGGCAGCAGUGGGGAAUAUUGGACAAUGGGCGCAAGCCUGAUCCAGCCAUACCGCGUGGGUGAAGAAGGCCUUCGGGUUGUAAAGCCCUUUUGUUGGGAAAGAAAAGCAGCAGGUUAAUACCCCGCUGUUCUGACGGUACCCAAAGAAUAAGCACCGGCUAACUUCGUG